UCGUGAUCGUGUGUUGAUAUCAAAAGGAAAACAAAAGUUCAAAGCUGAAUUAAUUGAAGGCAGCAAGUACAUAAGCAAAAUCAAUUAACCUGUUAAAAUUCAUCUAUUAAACUAAAAGAAAAACAUUUAAAAGGUGCUACACCAUUUCUCUCAAAAUAAAAAUCACCAUCUCCUUCUUUGCUGAACUUUUGUGUGCUCUCUCUCCUUCAACCAUAACCCUCCAUCUCUGAAAUAAAAAAAAAAAAACAAUCCCUCUUAACGCUGCAACUACAUUCUUUUAAAGCAAAAACAUUCUUCUCCCUGGCGGCUGACUCUUUUCUCUAGGUUGAAUCACCUGCUUCCCACGUGCUGGACCUACAAAUUCAUUUGUCCAUGGGCUGCUUGCUGCCAAGGUUUCUCUCCAAGCAAAGUUUCCUCUUACAGCCCCUUGCUGGACCGUUGGUGUUGCAUUUGACGAUGAAUGGGGUCUUGCUGUAUGCACCGCUGCAUUCUUCUCUCCAACUCAAGCUUCAUGGGCCUUGC
This 522-nucleotide long non-coding RNA is filed under the name Vigna radiata. RNAcentral describes it as "long non-coding RNA (VRAD_LNC006545)". The record is from RNAcentral. Lineage: Eukaryota; Viridiplantae; Streptophyta; Magnoliopsida; Fabales; Fabaceae.